CCUACGGGUGGCAGCAGUGAGGAAUAUUGGUCAAUGGGCUUACGCCUGAACCAGCCAAGUCGCGUGAGGGAAGACUGCCCUAUGGGUUGUAAACCUCUUUUGUCAGGGAGCAACGCCGGCUACGUGUAGCCGGACUGAGAGUACCUGAAGACAAAGCAUCGGCUAGCUCCGUGCAAGCAGCCGCGGUAAUACGGAGGAUGCGAGCGUUAUCCGGAUUUAUUGGGUUUAAAGGGUGCGUAGGCGGAAUGCCAAGUCAGCGGUAAAAUCGCGGGGCUAAACUUCGCUCCGCCGUUGAGACUGGCGUUCUUGAGUGGGCGAGAGGUAUGCGGAAUGCGUGGUGUAGCGGUGAAAUGCGUAGAUAUGACGCGGAACUCCGAUUGCGAAGGCAGCAUACCGGCGCCCAACUGACGCUGAAGCACGAAAGCGUGGGGAGCGAACAGGAUUAGAUACCCGGGUAGUC
This 460-nucleotide ribosomal RNA is filed under the name uncultured bacterium. RNAcentral describes it as "partial 16S ribosomal RNA". It matches the Rfam family "Bacterial small subunit ribosomal RNA", at positions 338 to 795 of the family's 1533-position model. The record is from RNAcentral.